CAGGGAAUCUUGCGCAAUGGGCGAAAGCCUGACGCAGCGACACCGCGUGGGGGAAGAAGGCCCUUGGGUUGUAAACCCCUUUUCUCGGGGAAGAAAGAUGACGGUACCCGAGGAAUAAGGUUCGGCUAACUACGUGCCAGCAGCCGCGGUAAUACGUAGGAACCGAGCGUUGUCCGGAUUUACUGGGCGUAAAGAGCGCGUAGGCGGCCCGUUAAGUCUCAUGUGAAAUCUCCCGGCUCAACUGGGAGGGGUCAUGGGAAACUGGCAGGCUAGAGGGCAGUAGAGGAAAGCGGAAUUCCCGGAGUAGUGGUGAAAUGCGUAGAUACCGGGAGGAACACCAGUGGCGAAGGCGGCUUUCUGGGCUGCCCCUGACGCUGAGGCGCGAGAGCGUGGGGAGCGAACCGG
RNAcentral lists this ribosomal RNA (405 nucleotides) under uncultured bacterium. RNAcentral's name for it is "bacterial SSU rRNA". It matches the Rfam family "Bacterial small subunit ribosomal RNA", at positions 355 to 776 of the family's 1533-position model. The record is from RNAcentral.